RNAcentral lists this transfer RNA (76 nucleotides) under Bartonella rattimassiliensis 15908. RNAcentral describes it as "tRNA-Thr". It matches the Rfam family "tRNA". From Rfam's summary of the family: Transfer RNA (tRNA) molecules are approximately 80 nucleotides in length. Their secondary structure includes four short double-helical elements and three loops (D, anti-codon, and T loops). Lineage: Bacteria; Pseudomonadati; Pseudomonadota; Alphaproteobacteria; Hyphomicrobiales; Bartonellaceae. The record is from RNAcentral.
GCCGCAUUAGCUCAGUUGGUAGAGCACAUCAUUCGUAAUGAUGGGGUCGCUGGUUCGGAUCCGGCAUGCGGCACCA